RNAcentral lists this ribosomal RNA (460 nucleotides) under uncultured bacterium. RNAcentral's name for it is "partial 16S ribosomal RNA". It matches the Rfam family "Bacterial small subunit ribosomal RNA", at positions 338 to 795 of the family's 1533-position model. The record is from RNAcentral.
CCUACGGGGGGCAGCAGUGAGGAAUAUUGGUCAAUGUGCGCGAGCCUGAACCAGCCAAGUAGCGUGAAGGAUGACUGCCCUACGGGUUGUAAACUUCUUUUAUAAAGGAAUAAAGUGAGGCACGUGUGCCUUUUUGUAUGUACUUUAUGAAUCAAGAUCGGCUAACUCAGUGCCAGCAGACGCGGUAAUACGGAGGAUCCGAGCGUUGUCCGGAUUUAUUGGGUUUAAAGGGAGCGUAGAUGGGUUGUUAAGUCAGUUGUGAAAGUGUGCGGCUCAACCGGAAAAUUGCAAUGGAUACUGGCAGCCUUGAGGACAGUUGAGGUAGGCGGAAUUCGUGGUGUAGCGGUGAAAUGCUUAGAUAUCACGAAGAACUCCGAUUGCGAAGGCAGCUUACUAAACUGCCACUGACAUUGAGGCUCGAAAGUGUGGGUAUCAAACAGGAUUAGAUACCCUAGUAGUC